Molecule: ribosomal RNA, 200 nt
Filed under: uncultured bacterium
Lineage: Bacteria
Description: partial 16S ribosomal RNA
Rfam family: Bacterial small subunit ribosomal RNA
Source: RNAcentral
AGCGAACGCUGGCGGCAGGCCUAACACAUGCAAGUCGAGCGGGCGUAGCAAUACGUCAGCGGCAGACGGGUGAGUAACGCGUGGGAACAUACCUUUUGGUUCGGAACAACACAGGGAAACUUGUGCUAAUACCGGAUAAGCCCUUACGGGGAAAGAUUUAUCGCCGAAAGAUUGGCCCGCGUCUGAUUAGCUAGUUGGUG